Molecule: ribosomal RNA, 1425 nt
Filed under: uncultured bacterium
Lineage: Bacteria
Description: bacterial SSU rRNA
Rfam family: Bacterial small subunit ribosomal RNA
Source: RNAcentral
GACGAACGCUGGCGGCGUGCUUAACACAUGCAAGUCGAACGGAAAGGCCCUUCGGGGUACUCGAGUGGCGAACGGGUGAGUAACACGUGGGUGAUCUGCCCUGCACUCUGGGAUAAGCCUGGGAAACUGGGUCUAAUACCGGAUAGGACCACACACUUCAUGGUGAGUGGUGCAAAGCUUUUGCGGUGUGGGAUGAGCCCGCGGCCUAUCAGCUUGUUGGUGGGGUAAUGGCCCACCAAGGCGACGACGGGUAGCCGGCCUGAGAGGGUGACCGGCCACACUGGGACUGAGAUACGGCCCAGACUCCUACGGGAGGCAGCAGUGGGGAAUAUUGCACAAUGGGCGCAAGCCUGAUGCAGCGACGCCGCGUAAGGGAUGACGGCCUUCGGGUUGUAAACCUCUUUCAGUAGGGACGAAGCGAAAGUGACGGUACCUACAGAAGAAGGACCGGCCAACUACGUGCCAGCAGCCGCGGUAAUACGUAGGGUCCGAGCGUUGUCCGGAAUUACUGGGCGUAAAGAGCUCGUAGGUGGUUUGUCGCGUUGUUCGUGAAAACUCACAGCUUAACUGUGGGCGUGCGGGCGAUACGGGCAGACUAGAGUACUGCAGGGGAGACUGGAAUUCCUGGUGUAGCGGUGGAAUGCGCAGAUAUCAGGAGGAACACCGGUGGCGAAGGCGGGUCUCUGGGCAGUAACUGACGCUGAGGAGCGAAAGCGUGGGUAGCGACCAGAAAGAGAUACCCUGGUAGUCCACGCCGUAAACGGUGAGUACUAGGUGUGGGUUUCCUUCCUUGGGAUCCGUGCCGUAGCUAACGCAUUAAGUACCCCGCCUGGGGAGUACGGUCGCAAGACUAAAACUCAAAGGAAUUGACGGGGGCCCGCACAAGCGGCGGAGCAUGUGGAUUAAUUCGAUGCAACGCGAAGAACCUUACCUGGGUUUGACAUGCACAGGACGUACCUAGAGAUAGGUAUUCCCUUGUGGCCUGUGUGCAGGUGGUGCAUGGCUGUCGUCAGCUCGUGUCGUGAGAUGUUGGGUUAAGUCCCGCAACGAGCGCAACCCUUGUCCUAUGUUGCCAGCGGGUAAUGCCGGGGACUCGUAGGAGACUGCCGGGGUCAACUCGGAGGAAGGUGGGGAUGACGUCAAGUCAUCAUGCCCCUUAUGUCCAGGGCUUCACACAUGCUACAAUGGCCAGUACAGAGGGCUGCGAAGCCGCAAGGUGGAGCGAAUCCCUUAAAGCUGGUCUCAGUUCGGAUUGGGGUUUGCAACUCGACCCCAUGAAGUCGGAGUCGCUAGUAAUCGCAGAUCAGCAACGCUGCGGUGAAUACGUUCCCGGGCCUUGUACACACCGCCCGUCACGUCAUGAAAGUCGGUAACACCCGAAGCCAGUGGCCUAACCUUUUGGAGGGAGCUGUCGAAGGUGGGAUC